This is an RNA transcript of Zingiber officinale, 1582 nucleotides long. It is a transcript of the gene named nudix hydrolase 15, mitochondrial-like, with no coding region annotated. The transcript has 5 exons. NCBI's taxonomy places the organism in Eukaryota, Viridiplantae, Streptophyta, Magnoliopsida, Zingiberales, Zingiberaceae. The record is from RefSeq and is a predicted model, not a curated record.
GAGAGAGAGAGAGGAGGGGAUGCUGUCGGGGGGAGCAGCUCUCCAAAAAGAUUUCCUGUCCGAGUCCCGAGUCCCGAGUCCGAGCCAUGGACUCAGCUCCCGGCGGACUCUACGAGCUGAUCCAGCGCCUACGCCUCUACAAGCCCCCGCCUCCGCCGGACGACGAGGACGACAUGGACGAGAAGGGGAAGGUUUUCUCCUCGAUGGGGAUCUCCGAGGCCCAGGCUUCACUGCCGGAGCCGUUCCAGCCGAAGAGGGCAGCUGUCCUGAUUUGCCUCUUCGUGGGCGAACGCGGCGAGCUCCGUGUCAUCCUCACUAAGCGAUCGCGCAACCUUUCCACACACUCCGGUGAAGUGUCAUUGCCGGGCGGUAAAAUGGAGGAAGGCGACAAAGACGACGCCACUACUGCGACGCGUGAGGCAAAGGAAGAAAUAGGAUUGGACCCGUCCAUUGUCACUGUUGUUGCUCUUCUGGAGCCGUUCUUGUCCCGGCAUCUACUCAGAGUAGUCCCUGUGAUCGGUAUACUUUCUGAUAAGCAGUCAUUCAAGUCAAAACCUAAUGCUUCGGAAGUGGAAACAGUUUUUGAUGCACCCUUAGAAAUGUUCCUCAAGGAUGAAAACCGGAGAUCUGAAGAACGAGAGUGGAUGGGGGAGAAAUAUCUUAUCCAUUAUUUCAACUUUGAAACAGAGAACAAACAGUUUGUUAUAUGGGGUUUAACUGCAGGCAUCUUGAUUCAUGCUGCAUCGGUUGUCUACGAUAGGACACCUUCUUUUCUCGAGCAAAGGCCUAGGUAUCGUUUCCCACGCUGCAUCAAGGGGAACUGCACAAUGCCAUGAAAUUCAUAUUAUUUCUACAGAAAGCUCAUAUGUGCUUCUGUUUCCUUAUGUAAGGCAAGAAUUAUUCUACCUGGGAAUUUCAGUUUCGUUUAAUUGUCGUGGGAAAAGAAUUAUGGGGUUAUAUUGAUGGUAGUGAUUCAGCACCUACUAUGCAUUCUAAAUUGGCUCAGUGGGAAGUCAAGGAUGUUAGAGUCAUGACAUGGAUUUUAGGAUCAGUUGAUGAGUUGCUUGUUCCCAAUCUGAGGCCCUAUAAGAUAGCUAAAGGCAUGUGAGAAUAUUUAAAAAAGGUUUACAAUCAAGACAAUACAACCAAACAUUUUCAAUUAAAGUACGAGAUUGCUAGUUACUCUCAGGGCGACCCCUCCGUUCAAGAUUACUUUUCUAAUUUUCAGAACUUAUGAACUGAAUAUGUUGAUGACAUAAUUUAUUCCAAACUACAAGCAGGCUCUCUUUUUGUGGUUUAAGAGGUGCAUGAACAGUGCAAGAGAGAUCAAUUUUUGAUGAAACUACGUCCUGGAUAUGGGCAGCCCACUCUAAUUUGAUGAAUCAUGCUCCUCCUCUUGGAAUGGUUUUUGGAGAAUUGCUGUGUGAAGAGCAGUGUCUUGUAACACGAACAAUUAUCCUGCAAAGAAAAAUGUAUAAUAAUGCAAUUGCUUAUGCAGCUCAAGGGAAGUUUAAUGCUAUAGUUGUAAGGAAUACAAACAUUGUUGUUCACUAUUCAAAAUUUUUUACAACCAUCGUAAGAA